RNAcentral lists this ribosomal RNA (532 nucleotides) under Ceratitis anonae. Its description in RNAcentral is "partial 16S ribosomal RNA". The stretch from base 391 to 532 matches the Rfam family "Bacterial large subunit ribosomal RNA", at positions 2473 to 2614 of the family's 2925-position model. The record is from RNAcentral. Lineage: Eukaryota; Metazoa; Arthropoda; Insecta; Diptera; Tephritidae.
GUCUUUUUGAGUUAUUUUUAAAGUCUGACCUGCCCACUGAAUAUUUUUAAAUGGCCGCAGUAUUCUAACUGUGCAAAGGUAGCAUAAUCAUUAGUCUUUUAAUUGAAGGCUGGUAUGAACGGUUGGACGAAGUAUAAGCUGUUUCAUAUAAAAUUAUAUUAGAAUUUUAUAUUUUAGUUAAAAAGCUAAAAUAUUAUUAAAAGACGAGAAGACCCUAUAAAUCUUUAUAUUUAAUAUUAUUCAAAUUUUUUUGAUUAAUUUUAUUUUUAUAAUAUAAAAUAUUUUGUUGGGGUGAUAUUAAAAUUUAAUAAACUUUUAAUUUUGAAUUAAAACAUUAAUUUAUGAAUAGUUGAUCCAUUAUUAAUGAUUAUAAGAUUAAGUUACUUUAGGGAUAACAGCGUAAUUUUUUUUGAGAGUUCAUAUCGACAAAAAAGUUUGCGACCUCGAUGUUGGAUUAAGAUAUAUAUUUAGGUGUAGUCGUUUAAAUAUUAAGUCUGUUCGACUUUUAAAUUCUUACAUGAUCUGAGUUCAA